This 77-nucleotide transfer RNA is filed under the name Candidatus Berkelbacteria bacterium CG_4_10_14_0_8_um_filter_35_9_33_8. RNAcentral's name for it is "tRNA-Pro". It matches the Rfam family "tRNA". From Rfam's summary of the family: Transfer RNA (tRNA) molecules are approximately 80 nucleotides in length. Their secondary structure includes four short double-helical elements and three loops (D, anti-codon, and T loops). Lineage: Bacteria; Candidatus Berkelbacteria. RNAcentral also lists the same sequence under 2 other names. The record is from RNAcentral.
CGGGGAGUGGCUCAGCUUGGUAGAGCGCGUCGUUUGGGACGAUGAGGUCGCAGGUUCGAAUCCUGUCUCCCCGACCA